RNAcentral lists this ribosomal RNA (274 nucleotides) under uncultured bacterium. RNAcentral's name for it is "partial 16S ribosomal RNA". It matches the Rfam family "Bacterial small subunit ribosomal RNA", at positions 523 to 796 of the family's 1533-position model. The record is from RNAcentral.
AUACGGAGGGUCCGAGCGUUAUCCGGAAUCAUUGGGUUUAAAGGGUCCGUAGGCGGGAAUCUAAGUCAGUGGUGAAAUCUUGCAGCUCAACUGUAAAAUUGCCAUUGAUACUGGAUUUCUUGAAUUAGUGUGAAGUGGUUAGAAUGUGUAGUGUAGCGGUGAAAUGCAUAGAUAUUACACAGAAUACCAAUUGCGAAGGCAGAUCACUAACACUAUAUUGACGCUGAGGGACGAAAGUGUGGGGAGCGAACAGGAUUAGAAACCCUAGUAGUCC